This 497-nucleotide ribosomal RNA is filed under the name uncultured bacterium. RNAcentral describes it as "partial 16S ribosomal RNA". It matches the Rfam family "Bacterial small subunit ribosomal RNA", at positions 28 to 507 of the family's 1533-position model. The record is from RNAcentral.
GAUGAACGCUGGCGGCGUGCCUAAUACAUGCAAGUCGAGCGAACGGACGAGAAGCUUGCUUCUCUGAUGUUAGCGGCGGACGGGUGAGUAACACGUGGAUAACCUACCUAUAAGACUGGGAUAACUUCGGGAAACCGGAGCUAAUACCGGAUAAUAUUUUGAACCGCAUGGUUCAAAAGUGAAAGACGGUCUUGCUGUCACUUAUAGAUGGAUCCGCGCUGCAUUAGCUAGUUGGUAAGGUAACGGCUUACCAAGGCAACGAUGCAUAGCCGACCCGAGAGGGUGAUCGGCCACACUGGAACUGAGACACGGUCCAGACUCCUACGGGAGGCAGCAGUAGGGAAUCUUCCGCAAUGGGCGAAAGCCUGACGGAGCAACGCCGCGUGAGUGAUGAAGGUCUUCGGAUCGUAAAACUCUGUUACUAGGGAAGAACAUAUGUGUAAGUAACUGUGCACAUCUUGACGGUACCUAAUCAGAAAGCCACGGCUAACUACGUG